ACUAGCUCCUGGGACGGCAUGCGGGCUCAGGUGCCCCGAUCACUGUCACUGAAAAGGCCUGCGUCUGAUUCCAAAUGCUCCCCACUCGCACUGGCAGUCUCCUGCUGACCUCCUCACCUCCUUAAGCUGCCCCAAGGCGGAGGGGAAGGAGGUCGAACCCGCUGUCAGCCACGGUGGGCUCCUUCCGGCAGAGGUCCCUGUUCUAACCCUCAGACAGGCCCGGCCUGGCUCAGCGAAACCUGUCCUUUGAGCUGCUGGGCCGCCAUGUCUCUUAUCGCAAAAUAAUUAUUUAGCUAAAGCAAAAGGAGGGCAAGUUCGUGAGAAAAUACAACCGCUCCAAGAUACCCACAGAGGAGGACUAGGUCACUUACCAGCAGGUCUGCCAGCCAUUUUGUCCUAAGAGUGAAGAGCUGCCUUCUGGUUCUAGGAGUCUAUGCAGUAGCCACCGUGAAGUCUGAAGGAUAGGAGUAAAUACAUACACGUGUACAUUGGCACAUUGCUUUGCAGAGGGUAUUCAUUAAACUUCACCCUGACAAGUUUCAGCACCAGGGUGAAAGAGGCUUAAGAAGAAGAUCAUAUGUCAAGAAAUUACACUACCUGACUCUUUAAAUUUUAGACAUAUAUAUGUGAUGCAUUGGCACAUUCCCCACACACACCUGCAAUUUUUUUAAAGAUUAAUCUUUAAUAUUUCUUUUCCC
This is a long non-coding RNA of Mastomys coucha (southern multimammate mouse), 698 nucleotides long. RefSeq lists it as uncharacterized. NCBI's taxonomy places the organism in Eukaryota, Metazoa, Chordata, Mammalia, Rodentia, Muridae. The record is from RefSeq and is a predicted model, not a curated record. The transcript is spliced from 3 exons.